GCGUGGAUAGUGUAGUGGUUUAGCAUUCUAGCCUUCCAAGCUGGGGACUCGGGUUCGAAUCCCGGUUCACGCA
Pachysolen tannophilus NRRL Y-2460 is the source of this 73-nucleotide transfer RNA. It matches the Rfam family "tRNA". From Rfam's summary of the family: Transfer RNA (tRNA) molecules are approximately 80 nucleotides in length. Their secondary structure includes four short double-helical elements and three loops (D, anti-codon, and T loops). Further hydrogen bonds mediate the characteristic L-shaped molecular structure. tRNAs have two regions of fundamental functional importance: the anti-codon, which is responsible for specific mRNA codon recognition, and the 3' end, to which the tRNAs corresponding amino acid is attached (by aminoacyl-tRNA synthetases). tRNAs cope with the degeneracy of the genetic code in two manners: having more than one tRNA (with a specific anti-codon) for a particular amino acid; and 'wobble' base-pairing, i.e. permitting non-standard base-pairing at the 3rd anti-codon position. The record is from Rfam. NCBI's taxonomy places the organism in Eukaryota, Fungi, Ascomycota, Pichiomycetes, Alaninales, Pachysolenaceae.